RNAcentral lists this ribosomal RNA (253 nucleotides) under uncultured bacterium. Its description in RNAcentral is "partial 16S ribosomal RNA". It matches the Rfam family "Bacterial small subunit ribosomal RNA", at positions 524 to 776 of the family's 1533-position model. The record is from RNAcentral.
GACAGAGGGUGCAAACGUUGUUCGGAAUUACUGGGCGUAAAGCGCGUGUAGGCUGCUUCGCAAGUCGGAUGUGAAAGCCCUGGGCUCAACCCAGGAAGUGCAUUCGAAACUGCAGAGCUGGAGUCCUGGAGAGGAAGGCGGAAUUCUCGGUGUAGAGGUGAAAUUCGUAGAUAUCUGGAGGAACACCGGUGGCGAAGGCGGCAUCCUGGACCGGUAUUGACGCUGAGGCGCGAAAGCCAGGGGAGCAAACGGG